ACGAACGCUGGCGGCGUGCUUCACACAUGCCAGUCGCACGCUGAAGCUCAGCUUUUGUUGGGUGGAUGAGUGGCGAACGGGUGAGUAACACGUGAGUAACCUGCCUCCUUCUUUGGGAUAACGCCCGGAAACGGGUGCUAAUACUGGAUAUUCACUGGUCUUCGCAUGGGGGUUGGUGGAAAGGGUUUUUCUGGUGGGGGAUGGGCUCGCGGCCUAUCAGCUUGUUGGUGGGGUGAUGGCCUACCAAGGCUUUGACGGGUAGCCGGCCUGAGAGGGUGACCGGUCACAUUGGGACUGAGAUACGGCCCAGACUCCUACGGGAGGCAGCAGUGGGGAAUAUUGCACAAUGGGCGCAAGCCUGAUGCAGCGACGCCGCGUGAGGGAUGGGGGCCUUCGGGUUGUGAACCUCUUUCGCUCAUGGUCAAGCCGCAACAAUGGUUGUGGUGAGGGUAGUGGGUAAAGAAGCGCCGGCUAACUACGUG
RNAcentral lists this ribosomal RNA (482 nucleotides) under uncultured bacterium. Its description in RNAcentral is "partial 16S ribosomal RNA". It matches the Rfam family "Bacterial small subunit ribosomal RNA", at positions 29 to 507 of the family's 1533-position model. The record is from RNAcentral.